Molecule: long non-coding RNA, 5486 nt
Filed under: Sus scrofa (pig)
Lineage: Eukaryota; Metazoa; Chordata; Mammalia; Artiodactyla; Suidae
Description: lncRNA (ENSSSCG00065068443.1)
Source: RNAcentral
GGAGUUCCCGUCAUGGUGCAGCGGAAAGGAAUCUAACUAGGAACCAUGAGGUUGUGGGUUCGAUCCCUGGUCUUGCUCAGUGGGUUAAGGAUCCGGCAUUGCUGUGAGCUGUGGUGCAGGUCGCAGAUGUGGUUUGGAUCUGGUGUGGCUGUGGCUGUGGCGUAGGCCAGCAGCUGUAGCUCCAAUUCGCCCCCGAGCCUGGGACUCUCCAAGGGAAUGGCCCUAAAAAAAACAAAAACGAAAAAACCCACAUGUGGACAGACUGGGACCCAAACCAGGGAUUUGUCCUCUGCAGCCAUGGAGGGGACAGACUAAGACUAUUUGUCAAAGAAAGGAACCUCUUGACCCAACCAUGAAAGAUGACAGAAGUGGGGACACAGGUAAGCGGGCACAGGGCGACAGAACCAAAACCUCCUAUCCAUGUUAUCAUGGCUACACCUUAAUGGCUAAUUUCCCCAUCUAGAACCCUGCACGAAAAAGGCGAAGAUUUGGAAAACAAUGCCCCUAGUUUACCAACCUGAAAGAUACUGGAAAAAGAAGCUUGGCUGCAGGGUGAAAUAAUAUUCUACUUAAGUUAUAACUUAAAUAAAUAUUCUUUGAGGGGGAAAAAUAGCCCUGUAACUCCCUAUUUUCCAUAUGCUCUUAUGCUCUUCCUCAUGCAGGACGGAGUUUCUAUUAGGAAGUCAGUCUUCCUGAGAUAGCAGAAAAAGUACAGGGUUUGCGGCGAGCAGUUUACAAUCCUGGCUCUGCUAAAUAUUGCAGAAUAUAUAACAAAAUAUUGUGCAAGGAACCAGUAACUAACCUCCGACCUUCAGUUUCCCAGUUUGUGAAAUGGAGAUAAUAAACCUGUCUGGAAAGACUAUUGAAAAAAAUGAAAAAUUAAAUUACGACUUGAAAAGAACCUAACCUAAGACCUACCAUUCAGCAGAGACUCAAUAAACAAUUAUUUCUUCCCCUCUUCCCACAAUCUCCAUUCUAUUGCCAACAGUCAAGGUCAAAACUCACUUGAUUACAUAAGCAAAUACAUGGCUGGUUAAGAAAAAUUAUCUUACAGGUCCAUUUCAACACUGGAAGUAUAUUCACUACUAGACGAAGGUAUUUUAAGAGCUUAUGUUGUGUAUACCCAUGUCAGGUAUACUAUGUUGUGUAUACCCAAGUUAUGUAUACUCAAGGUUGUGUAUACUAUGUUGUGUAUACCCAAGUUAUGUAUACUCAAGGUUGUGUAUACGAUGUGGUGCAUAUCCAAAGUUGUGUAUACCAUGGGAUGCAUAUCCAUAGUAUACCCAUGUUGUGUAUAUCGUGUUGUAUAUACUAUGUUGUAUAUACAUCUUUACACAGGUGGCCCUGUUUGGCACUUUAGUAGACUUGCUCUCCAACCAUAUUCCAGUGGGAUGAACAUAGACUCUUCCAAAGAAAGCAGUCAUCCUAAGGCAAAAAGCACAUGCUUUCAAAUGUGGUCAAAAAACAGUCGAGGAGUCAAGAAAAGAGGAAAAUCUUAAGUAGACCACCUGGUCUCCUGGUCUGAGGUCAGUGUCCUCGGGUAUAGGGGACAAAACAACAAGAGAACUGCUUGACUGACAUGGGUGUUCCUGGGAGCACAAUACAUCACCACUUCCUUUGGAGCCUACAAAGCGGAAUAUAAUCACCGGAAGUGAAGCAUUCAGUCUAGUAGCUAAAGAUAAGAGAUCCACCCUGGGUGAUGGACAGAAGAAGCUCCCAGUAGGUGGCCCACACUUUGAAAAGGAAAGAGACAGCUAAGGCUGCCUUGCACCUGGAAGCAGGGAUGAUGAUGCCAGAGACGUGGAGGGAAGAGAGUCUGUGAACACACCCUGCACCAGUGGGGCACCGCCAGGACAGCCACAAGGACUUGCAGAGCAGAUGUGGAGGAGAUAGAGCAUAACAAGCACCAUCGUGUUGGUAUUUUCAUCCUAGCAGAACCUGGUGAAGCAAAAAUUACAUGCCUUUAGACUAGUGUCAUCUCCAACUAGGUGCUUAGUAAGAGGGAAGUGAAGAACAGAGGAAUAUUGGAAGGGAACCAACAUUUUCUGUGCAGUUAUAAGCAGUUUAAGCAGUGAGUGAGACUUUUUCUCAUUUAAUUCCACAUAAUUUUAUUUUAAAGAACAGAAUAUCAAUUUUAUCUGAUUAGAUAUACUUCUACAAUAAAGGUUUUUGAACGAAAGCAGAUUUAAUUUUGAUUCACAGGCUGCAUUCUUUGCAUGUCAUCACCCCAAAGAUAAAUUACCCCAGAAUUCACAACAAGUAUUUUUAUUGAUUUAUUUGGAAAAGAUACCUAUCGUACACCAGUUCUAAAGCAGCUCUCAAAGACCCUUUCAGAGCAUCUGAGAGGUCAAAACUAUCUUCAUAAUAAUACUGUCUCUUCACGCUCAUCAUCUAGUGAGUGGACAGAGGAGUCUUCCAGAGGCCACAUCAUAUGUGGGUUCACAAAAGACUGAAAACAUUUAGUAGAUAUAAGAACUCAAUUGUUGGAGUUCCCGCUGUGGUGCAGUGGUUAACCAAUCCAAAUGGGAACCUUGAGGUUGUGGGUUCGAUCCCUAGCCUUGCUCAGUGGGUUAAGGAUCCAGCAUUGCCGGGAGCUAUUGGUGUAGAUUGCAGACACAGCUCGGAUCCCGAGUUGCUGUGGCUGUGGUGUAGACCCGCGGCUACAGUUCCUAUUGGACCCCUAGCCUGGGAACCUCCAUAUGCCGCAGGAGCGGCUCAAGAAAAGGCAAAAAGGCAAAAAAAACCCCAAAAACAAACAAACAAAAAAAAACAAAACUCAAUUGUUGUCUAGUAAGCUAGACACCAAACGGAUUUGCAAAAUCAUAAAGCAAAGUCAAUUUUUCUAAUUAUUUUUGGUUUUUGAAAAAUAAAUUUUCGGAAAUGUAUUUUAUUAACAUUUAAUGGAUUGAUUUAAAGAAAUUAAUAAAAAGUAUAAAUUUCUCAGUUUUAAAUUCUAACAUGAUACAAAUUGAUAGACAUAAGUUAUACAAAAAAGUAUCUUUGGGCCCCUGAAUAAUUUUGAAGAGGAUAAAGGGAUCCUGAGGACAAAAAGUUUGAGACUUGCUGGUGUACAUCACAGUUUAUCUUUCUCUGCUCUUCAAAAAUUCCAGGAGACCAAGCAGUGGUACAACUGCCGCAGUCAUGCUGACCUGGCCUGGGCUGAUCUGAAAUUCAUUGUUCUGCAAAGAGCAAGGAACACAUAGCCUUUGCUCUUUCGCUCUUUCCGACCAAGUUGUACUUCUUUCUGAGUUACGGAGAAAGCAUUUUUAAAGUUUACAUGUGUUUAGAUUUGGAGACAGCUAUAUUCUUGCUAUUUCGGUUCUGGGCUUUUGGUGCUUGUAGUAAUUGAGAUUUUCUUUGGCCUAAUGCAUGAUCAACUUUCCUAAUUCUGAUCAUGUAAACGAAUGAAUGAACUCCUAAAUGGUCCUUAUUCAAAGCCAUCUCUUCUUUCGCUAUAGAUGCAAUGUUCACCAAAGCUCACUGAGAAGAGGAAAGAAACCCCUUUUAAAGUUUUCUCCUAUUUUCUCAGUUGCUUUGCGUGAGUCCUGGACUCUGAGGGCUGCCAAGUCUCUUCACAGGUAAAAACACUUUUUAAAAAUGUUGGCGUGGAUUGUCUGGUAUUGAUAUGCCCUUAUAAUCCAGGUAAGUCACUGUUCAGUGUUCCUACACUGUCCUCAGAGAGACGCCCUGUGGAUGAAGAAAGUUAGCCAGUGUAUUUCAGUCUGAGGGAUGGAAAAGCCAAAAAGUUUUAAUAAAACUCAUCACUCAGCUCACUGUGCAACAGACCACAUGAAACGUUACUGCUUAGAGUUUGUAUUUCCCAACAGAACACAGGGGUAUUAGUGUCAGUACAUUUCCCGCCCCCCCCCCUUUUUUUUGCUUUUUAGGGCCACACCUGCAGCAUAUGGAAGUUCUCCAGCUAGGGGUCCAAUUGGAGCUACAGCAGCCAGCCUAUACCACAGCCACAGCAACAUCAGAUCCUCAGCCAAAUAAGCGGGACCCAAUAGUGAACCUCCAUCCUCAUGGAUACUAAUCGGGUUCAUUUCCACCGAGGCAUGACAAAAUAUCUCCAGUGUUAAGCUCUUCUUCUACAGGUGGAAAGUUGUGUAGAGACUGAUCAGUCAAAAAGAGUGCUCAUAUGAAUAUAUGGCCAGAACCUUUUAAAGAAAAUAGAAUGCUUCAGGGAAAGUAAACUUCCAAAUGUGUAUUCUGGAUGAAAAACAUCUCCCCCUCCAUCAUAUGUCCACUCUCGUCCCUUAUGUACUCAGUUCUCCAAGGACACCAAACUCCUAGACCCACUCCAGUUCCACUCCCUUUCCUACCAACCAGACCCCAAGGGAUAUAUCAUUUAAUUCCAUAUAAUUUCAAUCCUUCUAUUACCAGCAUCAUCACCUCCUUGGCUUUCUGUCUUGGUGUUCACCUGCUCAGCAGAAUGCAACAUAGAGUUGCACUGUGUCGCACUUUCACCACGCAAUUUUCUGCCCUAAACCAGGAAGGCACAAGGCCAAGCAGGCUCUGAAACAAUACUGUCUGCACCCGAACAUCGGCCCUGCUACUUAUGAAUGGCUGGGCACCGAGCAAUGUAUUUAACGUCCCAGUCCAAUCCGCAAAGUGGGCAUGGUAAUAGCAGGUGCUUAUCUGAUAGCAUUGCCGUGAGGACAGAGUGAGGCACCACCCAGAAGGGGCCUGGCACAAAGCGAGCCGUCAACAAAUGUUUGCGGUUUGCAUUUGCUAUAACUCCUGGCUGCAAAGCUGUGAUGGAGGAACACGUGGAACUCUGUGGAUGAGAGUUUCGAUGCGUGCAUGGUGCCUGGUUUACCCUUAAAACUUGCAUGGGACCCUGGAGCCCUAUCACACGGUCCAGAUUCAUUCCUCAGCUCUCUCAAACCUCCCUCUCUCUGCUCAAGCCCUAACCCUCCCCGUGUGCUCUUCCUCAACUGAUAACCUUGCUGCCGAGAUCACAGAGAAAACAGAAGCCACAUCCUGCUCUCAACCCCAAAUCCUCAUGAACAGCAUGUGUUCCCCUUUCAGAGGAACGGCUUCCCUCCUCCUCCAAGAACCCAUUCUCCUGUCUUCAUCCUUCCUGCUCCAGCAAUCGCAACUUCUACUUCCCAAUCGUUCGUUUCUUUCUACUUCCCCUCAGCCCAAGACCUACUUGGAGCUCUCCAUCUUCCAACAAAGUAACACAAAGCCCUCCUCUGGCUCCAUUCACCUCCAGCUACACUGUAUUUCUCCCUUCACAGCCACGUUGCUAGGAAAAAAUGUCUACACUUGUUAUCUCCAUUAUCCAGGUUUUCAAUAUUUUAUUUUAUUUUUAUUUGUUGUCUUUUUAGGGCCAUACCCACGGCAUGUGGAGGUUCCCAGAAAAGGCAAAAAUAAGUAAAUAAAUAAAUGAAGUGACUACAAAAUGAACAUUACACUAAAUUAGCAAAAUGAAUUAAUGAAUUAGUUUUCUUCAUUCCCAAACUCCUUUACCCUAAACAAAC